This 252-nucleotide ribosomal RNA is filed under the name uncultured bacterium. Its description in RNAcentral is "partial 16S ribosomal RNA". It matches the Rfam family "Bacterial small subunit ribosomal RNA", at positions 524 to 776 of the family's 1533-position model. The record is from RNAcentral.
UACGUAGGGGCAAGCGUUGUCCGGAUUUAUUGGGCGUAAAGAGCGUGUAGGCGGUUUGGUAGGUCCGUUGUGAAAACUCGAGGCUCAACCUCGAGACGCCGAUGGAAACCAUCAGACUAGAGUCCGGAAGAGGAGAGUGGAAUUCCUGGUGUAGCGGUGAAAUGCGCAGAUAUCAGGAAGAACACCCGUGGCUAAGGCGGCUCUCUAGUACGGUACUGACGCUGAGACGCGAAAGCGUGGGGAGCGAACAGG